CCUACGGGAGGCAGCAGUGAGGAAUAUUGGUCAAUGGGCGCGAGCCUGAACCAGCCAAGUCGCGUGAAGGAUGACUGCCCUACGGGUUGUAAACUUCUUUUAUCAGGGAAUAAAGUGAGACACGUGUUCCUUUUUGUAUGUACUUUAUGAAUAAAGAUCGGCUAACUCCGUGCCAGCAGCCGCGGUACUACUGAGGAUCCGAGCGUUAUCCGGAUUUCUUGGGUUUAACGGGAGCGUAGAUGGGUUGUUAAGUAAGAUGGGAAAGUUUGGGGCUUAACCGGAAAAUUGCAUUUGAUACUGGCAGGCUUGAGUACAGGUGAGGUAGGCGGAAUUCGUUGUGUAGCGGUGAAAUGCUGAGAUAUCACGAAGAACCCCGAUGGCGAAGGCAGCGUACUAGACUGAGACUGACAUUGAGGCGCGAAAGUGUGGGUAUCAAACAGGAUUAGAUACCCCAGUAGUC
Molecule: ribosomal RNA, 460 nt
Filed under: uncultured bacterium
Lineage: Bacteria
Description: partial 16S ribosomal RNA
Rfam family: Bacterial small subunit ribosomal RNA
Source: RNAcentral